This 652-nucleotide ribosomal RNA is filed under the name uncultured bacterium. RNAcentral's name for it is "bacterial SSU rRNA". It matches the Rfam family "Bacterial small subunit ribosomal RNA", at positions 84 to 730 of the family's 1533-position model. The record is from RNAcentral.
CCUGGUGGCGAGUGGCGAACGGGUGAGUAAUAUAUCGGAACGUGCCCAGUAAUGGGGGAUAGCCCGGCGAAAGCCGGAUUAAUACCGCAUACGACCUACGGGUGAAAGCGGGGGACCUGAGAGGGCCUCGCGUUAUUGGAGCGGCCGAUAUCAGAUUAGCUAGUUGGUGGGGUAAAGGCCUACCAAGGCGACGAUCUGUAGCUGGUCUGAGAGGACGACCAGCCACACUGGGACUGAGACACGGCCCAGACUCCUACGGGAGGCAGCAGUGGGGAAUUUUGGACAAUGGGCGCAAGCCUGAUCCAGCCAUGCCGCGUGUGGGAAGAAGGCCUUCGGGUUGUAAACCACUUUUGUCAGGGAAGAAACGGUCUGGACUAAUAAUCUGGGCUAAUGGCGGUACCUGAAGAAUAAGCACCGGCUAACUACGUGCCAGCAGCCGCGGUAAUACGUAGGGUGCAAGCGUUAAUCGGAAUUACUGGGCGUAAAGCGUGCGCAGGCGGCUUUGCAAGACAGAUGUGAAAUCCCCGGGCUCAACCUGGGAACUGCAUUUGUGACUGCAUGGCUAGAGUACGGUAGAGGGGGAUGGAAUUCCGCGUGUAGCAGUGAAAUGCGUAGAUAUGCGGAGGAACACCGAUGGCGAAGGCAAUCCCCU